RNAcentral lists this non-coding RNA (29 nucleotides) under Homo sapiens (human). Lineage: Eukaryota; Metazoa; Chordata; Mammalia; Primates; Hominidae. The record is from RNAcentral.
CCGAGUUUCUGAUGCCGCGUGUCGGGAGA